Molecule: long non-coding RNA, 303 nt
Filed under: Malus domestica (apple)
Lineage: Eukaryota; Viridiplantae; Streptophyta; Magnoliopsida; Rosales; Rosaceae
Description: long non-coding RNA (MDOM_LNC003169)
Source: RNAcentral
GGCGAUUGAAGUGAGUUAUGUGCCCUGGAAGCAGAAGCUGUUUGUGCAGAUCAGCCAACUUGACGGAAUAAACUGUACUUCCUCAAAAUGAACCAGCUGUUGAGCCUUAUACCAUUGGAAAGAUAUGGAUGUUAGCUUUCAGAGGAAUUUUACGGACUGUGAUUUCGAGUUUCCUAGACGAUGUUAUGAAAGUUUUUGUACAAGACGUCGGUCAGCCAAGUCUACGCGGAAAUUGCAAAAUCUGUUGGGUUUUUUCAAGUCAUAAUUCAGUCGAAGCCCAAAGCCCAAGAUAGAAAACGUUGG